GAUGAACGCUGGCGGCGUGCCUAAUACAUGCAAGUCGAGCGAACAGAUGAGGAGCUGCUCCUCUGACGUUAGCGGCGGACGGGUGAGUAACACGUGGAUAACCUACCUAUAAGACUGGGAUAACUUCGGGAAACCGGAGCUAAUACCGGAUAAUAUAUUGAACCGCAUGGUUCAAUAGUGAAAGACGGUUUUGCUGUCACUUAUAGAUGGAUCCGCGCCGCAUUAGCUAGUUGGUAAGGUAACGGCUUACCAAGGCAACGAUGCGUAGCCGACCUGAGAGGGUGAUCGGCCACACUGGAACUGAGACACGGUCCAGACUCCUACGGGAGGCAGCAGUAGGGAAUCUUCCGCAAAGGGCGAAAGCCUGACGGAGCAACGCCGCGUGAGUGAUGAAGGUCUUCGGAUCGUAAAACUCUGUUAUUAGGGAAGAACAAAUGUGUAAGUAACUAUGCACGUCUUGACGGUACCUAAUCAGAAAGCCACGGCUAACUACGUG
RNAcentral lists this ribosomal RNA (496 nucleotides) under uncultured bacterium. Its description in RNAcentral is "partial 16S ribosomal RNA". It matches the Rfam family "Bacterial small subunit ribosomal RNA", at positions 28 to 507 of the family's 1533-position model. The record is from RNAcentral.